AUUGAACGCUGGCGGCAGGCCUAACACAUGCAAGUCGAACGGCACGGCGAACGGGUGGUUAAUGCCUAGGAAUCUACCUGGGAGUGGGGGAUAAAUACCGGAAACGGACGCUAAUGCCACAUACUAACAGAUGCGCCUAGGUGGUAUUAGCUAGUUGGUGGGGUAAAGGCCCACCAGGACGACGAGCCGUAACUGGGCUGAGAGGAUGAUCAGUCACACUGGAACUGAGACACGGUCCAGACUCCUACGGGAGGCAGCAGUGGGGAAUAUUGGACAAUGGGCGAAAGCCUGAGCCAGCCAUGCCGCGUGUGUGAAGAAGGUCUUCGGAUUGUAAAGCACUUUUAGUUGGGAGGCGUUACCAACAGAAUAAGCACCGGCUAACUUCGUGCCAGCAGCCGCGGUAAUAC
Molecule: ribosomal RNA, 407 nt
Filed under: uncultured bacterium
Lineage: Bacteria
Description: partial 16S ribosomal RNA
Rfam family: Bacterial small subunit ribosomal RNA
Source: RNAcentral